Molecule: ribosomal RNA, 473 nt
Filed under: uncultured organism
Description: partial 16S ribosomal RNA
Rfam family: Bacterial small subunit ribosomal RNA
Source: RNAcentral
GUACACUCCUACGGGAGGCAGCAGUGGGGAAUUUUGGACAAUGGGCGAAAGCCUGAUCCAGCAAUGCCGCGUGUGUGAAGAAGGCCUUCGGGUUGUAAAGCACUUUUGUCCGGAAAGAAAUCCUUGGCUCUAAUACAGUCGGGGGAUGACGGUACCGGAAGAAUAAGCACCGGCUAACUACGUGCCAGCAGCCGCGGUAAUACGUAGGGUGCGAGCGUUAAUCGGAAUUACUGGGCGUAAAGCGUGCGCAGGCGGUUUGCUAAGACCGAUGUGAAAUCCCCGGGCUCAACCUGGGAACUGCAUUGGUGACUGGCAGGCUAGAGUAUGGCAGAGGGGGGUAGAAUUCCACGUGUAGCAGUGAAAUGCGUAGAGAUGUGGAGGAAUACCGAUGGCGAAGGCAGCCCCCUGGGCCAAUACUGACGCUCAUGCACGAAAGCGUGGGGAGCAAACAGGAUUAGAAACCCUUGUAGUCC